UACGUACCGUACGAACGUUAUUCGGAAUUACUGGGCUUAAAGGGUUUGUAGGCGGCCUUGUAAGUCAGGUGUGAAAUCCCUCGGCUCAACCGAGGAAUAGCGCUUGAUACUGCAAGGCUUGAGGGAGACAGGGGUAAGCGGAACUGAUGGUGGAGCGGUGAAAUGCGUUGAUAUCGGGAGGAACACCAAUUGCGAAGGCAGCUCGCUGGGACGUUACUGACGCUGAGACGCGAAAGCGUGGGGAGCAAACAGG
RNAcentral lists this ribosomal RNA (253 nucleotides) under uncultured bacterium. Its description in RNAcentral is "partial 16S ribosomal RNA". It matches the Rfam family "Bacterial small subunit ribosomal RNA", at positions 524 to 776 of the family's 1533-position model. The record is from RNAcentral.